Small nucleolar RNA from Pteropus vampyrus (large flying fox), 102 nucleotides. The record is from Ensembl. NCBI's taxonomy places the organism in Eukaryota, Metazoa, Chordata, Mammalia, Chiroptera, Pteropodidae.
AUCCUUUUAUAGUUCAUAAGCGUGAUGAUUAAGUGUUCAUGCUCUUGUGAGAUGUGUGUCCCUCAAACCUGGUUAUGACAUCGGCGCAUUACCUGUCUGACG